This 71-nucleotide transfer RNA is filed under the name Toxocara canis (dog roundworm). It matches the Rfam family "tRNA". From Rfam's summary of the family: Transfer RNA (tRNA) molecules are approximately 80 nucleotides in length. Lineage: Eukaryota; Metazoa; Nematoda; Chromadorea; Rhabditida; Toxocaridae. The record is from Rfam by way of RNAcentral.
GUGGCAGUGGAUUAAUGGUAAAGCUCCCGCUUCGUAGGCGGGAAGACCUGGUUCGAUUCCUGGCUGCUUUC